CCUACGGGAGGCUGCAGUCGAGAAUCUUGGUCAAUGCACGAAAGUGUGAACCAGCGACGCCGCGUGGAGGACGAAGGCCCUCUGGGUUGUAAACUCCUUUUACGGGAGAAGAAUCAAUGACGGUAUCCCGUGAAUAAGCCACGGCUAACUACGUGCCAGCAGCCGCGGUAAUACGUAGGUGGCAAGCGUUGUCCGGAUUUACUGGGCGUAAAGCGAACGCAGGCGGGAAAGUAAGUAGGAAGUGAAAGGUUGGAGCUCAACUCUAACACUGCUCC
RNAcentral lists this ribosomal RNA (275 nucleotides) under uncultured bacterium. Its description in RNAcentral is "partial 16S ribosomal RNA". It matches the Rfam family "Bacterial small subunit ribosomal RNA", at positions 338 to 627 of the family's 1533-position model. The record is from RNAcentral.